GCAUCCAGCUCUCUCUAUAUAUAUUCUAAUCUCUUGAAUAUGUUCAGGGAUGAGGGGAAGAUUUCACGAAAGCUCAGGGGUUGUGUUAAUAUGCUCAGGGAUGAGGUGAAGGUUUUCCCAAUAAUUUGUAAUGUUUGUCGACUUGUAGGUUCAGUUGAAAGUUGACUGCCAUUUGACAUUUUCGUAUGUUCACCUUGUCUUUUUCUUCUAUAUUCGACAAUCUGAAGUUCAGUUGAAAGUUGACUUGUAUCCUUUGAUUUCUUUGUUGUUGUUGUUGUUUUUUUUUUUUAAUAUUUUAAUGCCUUUUAAUGCUUUACAUCUGUUUUUGUGUCAAUCGUGUCCGUGGAGGGCAAAAGGAUUGCGAGUAACUGGUUGGAGGGUAAUUCUUUGUUGAAACACUGGUAAGAUCAAGGCUGUUGAGAUGCGUCGCGGUUCUCUUGAAUAUAAUAGUUCCUUAUUCUUUUUUUUUCUUUUCUCUUUUAUCUUGAACAAAUUUUUUUGGAUUGAAGAGAAUUGUUGACCAUUUUAUUGUUUUGUCAGAUCAAACAUGGCAUUUACUUGAUAGAUAGUUGAAGGCAUGUAGGAAAUUUAGACGCCUUGCACACAAGCAAUUAUUUCUCUGUUUCUCUCUCGCUAUAUAUAUUUGAUUUUUUUGCAUCCUGCUCUCUAUAUAUAUUUAAUCUCUUGAAUUUGUUCAGGAAUGAGGUGAAGGUUUCACGAAGGCUCAAGGAUUGUGUUAAUAUGCUCAGGGACAAAGGCAUGAGACUUUCAAUGCAGUGAAGUUUAUGGCCGUCCCCUUUUUAUAUUGGAUUUCCUGUUAUAGGUCGAGCUGGAUGAGUUUUGAGAGUUCCCCAGAUGUUAUGAAAGAAGUAAACAUGCAGCAUGAGCGACACUGCUGCUUAGUCAACUUUGGGUUAAAAAAGAAAGCUUGAUGGGUGUGAAGAGGGUAAAUUGGGAUAUGUGUAGAGCCUGGGUUUUCACUUGGGGUUUUUACCAAAGGAAGUGAUUUGAAGAUUAUGUUGGGACUCGUGUAAAAGGAUAGACUUAUGAAAGGUUCAUUUUAUUGGUGGAUUUCAAGGAAAAUGUUAUUGCUGGAGGAAUUUGUGCUUUGCUUUUAGUCCUUUUCGUUGAAACAUUC
Molecule: long non-coding RNA, 1138 nt
Organism: Dioscorea cayenensis subsp. rotundata (Guinea yam)
Lineage: Eukaryota; Viridiplantae; Streptophyta; Magnoliopsida; Dioscoreales; Dioscoreaceae
Exons: 4
Source: RefSeq, a predicted model, not a curated record